RNAcentral lists this ribosomal RNA (389 nucleotides) under Boophis elenae. Its description in RNAcentral is "partial 16S ribosomal RNA". It matches the Rfam family "Bacterial large subunit ribosomal RNA", at positions 2033 to 2590 of the family's 2925-position model. The record is from RNAcentral. Lineage: Eukaryota; Metazoa; Chordata; Amphibia; Anura; Mantellidae.
UCAGUGAAACUGAUCUCCCCGUGAAGAAGCGGGGAUACAAAUAUAAGACGAGAAGACCCCAUGGAGCUUUAAACCCAACAGCACCCGUUUAUUUUCAUCCUCACAUAAGUUAGGUUAUGCCUGUUUGGUUUUAGGUUGGGGUGACCACGGAGUAUAAAACAACCUCCAUGAAAAAAGGACCAAAAAUCCUUAUUAGAGAAAGACAUUUCUAAAAUUAAUAAAUUAAUUUUUAAUGAUCCGAUAUUCGAUCAACGAACCAAGUUACCCUGGGGAUAACAGCGCAAUCCACUUCAAGAGCUCCUAUCGACAAGUGGGUUUACGACCUCGAUGUUGGAUCAGGGUAUCCUAGUGGUGCAGCAGCUACUAACGGUUCGUUUGUUCAACGAUUA